RNAcentral lists this ribosomal RNA (460 nucleotides) under uncultured bacterium. Its description in RNAcentral is "partial 16S ribosomal RNA". It matches the Rfam family "Bacterial small subunit ribosomal RNA", at positions 338 to 795 of the family's 1533-position model. The record is from RNAcentral.
CCUACGGGGCGCUGCAGUGAGGAAUAUUGGUCCAUGGGCGCUAGCCUGAACCAGCCAAGUAGCGUGAAGGAUGACUGCCCUACGGGUUGUAAACUUCUUUUAUAUGGGAAUAAAGUGAGGAACGUGUUCCUUUUUGUAUGUACCAUAUGCAUAAGCAUCGGCUAACUCCUUACCCGCAGCCGCGGUAAUACGGAGGAUGCGAGCGUUAUCCGGAUUUAUUGGGUUUAAAGGGUGCGUAGGUGGUUAAUUAAGUCAGCGGUGAAAGUUUGUGGCUCAACCAUAAAAUGGCUGUUGAAACUGGUUGACUUGAGUACAUUUGAGGUAGGCGGAAUGCGUGGUGUAGCGGGGAAAUGCAUAGAUAGCACGCAGAACUCCGAUUGCGAAGGCAGCUUACUAAACUAUAACUGACACUGAAGCACGAAAGCGUGGGGAUCAAACAGGAUUAGAUACCCGAGUAGUC